Molecule: long non-coding RNA, 8077 nt
Organism: Megachile rotundata (alfalfa leafcutting bee)
Lineage: Eukaryota; Metazoa; Arthropoda; Insecta; Hymenoptera; Megachilidae
Source: RefSeq, a predicted model, not a curated record
UCCAGAGAAUUCGAGGCGCGUUAGCAGGUUCGCCUCUUGUUAACCAUUUGCUGAAGGGACUUCGAAAAUUCGAACGAAAUAAGCAAGCCUGAAGUAGAUACCACCUUCCUCUUUGUACCAUGCCGAUCGAAAUUAUGACUUCAUCGGCUCUUCAUUAACGCUCUAUUCUUGUGAAUAGUUUUCUGCUGAAGAUUAGCAGCAGUAAAAGUUGCAACACUUUUAAAUAGCUCGAUUACUAUUUCCUUCUCUGUUUAUUAUCGUUAUCAUUAUCGAGUAUUUGUUCCAGAACAAGGACAAGUUUUUCGAUAAACAGGAGCUGUUCUAUCGUCUGAUUUUAGGUUAUUAAUUACCUCUGGUUACGUUAGGUUAUAACUCAAUUCUGUAUCAAUCUCACCUUACGAACAAACAAUGAAUAGAGAUAGCGAGACAAACAAAGUCACAAGUAUCAUAUUUUCCGGAGAGCAUCAAGAUAUGAAAGCAGGGAAAGCAAAUCGAUAGCAGGAAACCUUGGUGAAGUAUAAGAUGGGAGAGAUAAAUAAGAAGAUACGACCCUGCGAGUAAAAUCAGAAACACAAGGAUUUAAUAAAGGAAACAAUGUUGCAAAACGAGGUACAAGUAUAAAACAUGGGAAUGAACGGGUGGUAAGAGACAAGCAAAGAAUAAAGGUCAAAAAGUUUGAAGAAGAAGACGAGGAAGAAAUAAGAAGCCGAAGAGGAAGAAGAGUAUCGAAGGGAGGUGGAAGCGAAAGAGGGUAAAAGAAACGAAAAGGAGUAGGUGGAAAGAGAGAGUAGAAGAGAUCGAAAGAGAGUAGAAGGCAAGAGAGUAAAGUGGGCUGCGCCGGGUGCCAUGGUGUGUGGCGCGUGGUUAAAUAUAAACCUGUGGCAGCCACCACGAAGAAGGAGGGCAGGAGGAGAAGUGGAAUGAACGGGGCAACUCUCUUCUCGUGCUUGCACAGAAAUGCACGGGGCGGUUGCUCCGUACCGUUGAAAUGUGACAUGCGCUCAUUAACAUAUAAAUUAAACGUGACAACUGGGGGUCAGUUAUACUUUAACCGUGGCGACCACCGUCAGGCCACGAUCCACUUUCCGUUGUUUUUUACCUACCCCUCCCUACUUGCUUUUCCUUUUUAUUCGACCCAUCAAAUUCAUGCGUCGAAUCUUUUCGCAGCCAUUUCAUUUUUCUUUUGUUACGACUCGUCGACAUUCGACCGCUCUCUUUUUUCGACAUCCUCCCACGAUUUCAGGAAGUCGUCGGCAAUUUACCCACCUGGCAAGAAUUUUUCUUUUUUCGAUCAAGCUCGUAAAUACGGCUUUUUGCGAUUUCGACUGGGAAUACCCGAGACCGAAUAGAAGAAAAACAUAGGUAAAUUUAGCGGAAACCUUCGGCAAGGAUGUCUGAUGACCGGAUGUCUGGCGUCGCACGACCAUCCAAGGAACGACGGUUCGAUUGAAUUCACUGAAAGGAAGUUGAUUUCUACGUCGCAUGAAGCUCAUUGUGAUCGACCACUGGAGAGAGAAAGAGCUACUCAAUUAAUCUGACUUCUUUAAUCGGAAGUUGCUGGAGUCGCAUAGAAAUAACAAAAUUAUUAUACUGCUGACUUGGCAGCUGAAGGCCUGAUGGUGCAGAAACUUGGAAAAAGAAUAGGACUCAUACAUUUUCAAGAUUUGACAAUUCAUAAAUUUGAGAAAAGAGAAACAUGGAUAUACCUGACAAGGAAUUUAGAGCUAGAGAACCUUAAGUCUACAGGAAGAGACUAGGCCCGGAAUGUGAACCAUAUUUGACAAUUCAUAAAUUGAAAAACAUAGAGAUUAAUAUACCUGACAAGGGAUUUAGAGCUAGAGAAGCUUAAGUCUACAGGAAGAGGCUAGGUCCCAGAACGUGAACUAGAGCGAAUCCUAGAAGAAGGCGAAUGUAGUUGAACGUAAAGAAAAGUGGAAGAUACAAGGAUGUGUCAGCUCGAAGGAUGCAAUCGUACGUAACUAAGACGGCGGGACCACGCAACGUGUCCCCAGGUUUUGCAUAAAACGGCGGCGGUGAUCGAUGAUCCGGUGGACGAAACUGGUCUGGCUUAGAAACCAGUCCCCUUAUUCCCGUCGAACCGGGGCCAACAAACAAAGGAGAGAAGGCAGGCGAGCACACACUCGGCCAGAAUCGUAUUGUUUUAAGACAACGGGGACGCACGUUGCGUGGUUCUUCGGGGCUUGGCCGAGGAACGAGUCGUGGACCGGUAGACAAAACUGACCAACCUGGUCGGUUAUCCUGCUGCCUCUGGUGAACGAGGCGGGCUUUGGUCAUUGCCGGCUCGCGACGUGCUGUUAUUCUGGGCUCUACCAGGCUAUAUUUAGACGAGACCACCUUGAGGGAACUCGGGAGAGCCCGAGUGCUCUCCGCGAACUGCUACACCAGUCUUUUCUCUAUUGGCCGAUAUAGUUGUGCAACCAUGUUGUCGCGAUCCUUUGCAAUUCCUCUUCCUCCUUGUUUCUUUUCAACUUUCAAACGCUAUUUACUUUUAUUUGCUGUUGGGUUAGUGCCGUUAAGUGGCCUUCGAUUAGGCCCAACAUUCUAGGUUCUAUUCGUUCAUUAUGAAGUACAUUCGUACACUCUUUUAUGAAUGUACUUUUGGAUGCACUAUCGAUUCGAGUAAAAUAGGAUUACAGAGGAGCUUCCCUAAAACUGUUCUUCAAUGUGGGUCAAGUUGCUGAAUUUAGAAAAAGACUUCUGACCCCUCCCUGGAGGGAAAAUCUGUCUCGCUCUCUGAGAACAAAUAGGUUCUCGAGUUAGUUGCUAUGAAAAUCGAAAUCCGCGAUCGUGACGGAGGUCGUUGCGCCAGGAAUGGUUUAUAGAAUUGAAGCGAAGUUGUACGCGACAAUGUUUCGUAGUCAAAUAUAUCACCGGUCGAGAUUAACGCGGCAAUAUUGGAGGCGUGAAACAGCCUUUAUGUACCUUUGUCCAGUGGCACGAUACUAUUUCAACGAAUGCGCAGACAGAUCCCGUUAGCGUGUCGCUGUAGCAAACAUUGUUUGGUUGUUUCGAUCUAACAGACUGGUUCAAAGUUUCUCGAUCAAACGGUCUGUGAAAAAUGAUUACGCGUCUGGCUAACAAUGUGUCGACAUCGGUUGCAACCGGCUCGGCGGCGAGAAUACGUUAAGCUCGGUCUCAUCGCGAAUUCUUCAUGGUACUUUUUUAAAUUUAUGUCCUACUGUCUCAUAAUUGUUCGCCGCAUCCAUAAAACAUGCCUCGUGGAUAUUUCAUCUUUCCGCCUCUGCACGGUGAUCCACGUCGUCCCUCAAAAUUAUGCCUUUAAACUCGUCUUUACGUCGGGGAACGGCGCGGCGACGACUGCUCGUCUCGGUGCAUCGGCAAUCGUCGUGUUCGCUGAAUAACAAUGGAGCAAUCGUUGUCCGUAUCUUUCGAGUCACUUUAAUCGCGCAAAUCGACGGUCAAACGCUGAAAUCACGAUCGCGGCUGGAAAACAACCUUCUAUUCAUCGCGCUCUACGAUCCCCUUCCUGUUUGUCAGAGACGGAAGUCACACCUGAGGAGGAAGACUCCAAAGGAAGUUAAGAACGUGGCAGAAUAUUGAUUUCUUAAUCACCACAGUCUCAUCACGAAUGUCAACAAUAUCGGCAAGGACUGCUCCAAAACUGAUUGCGUUUACGAUCUACACAUUCGAACGCGUUUUGGUACCUAUUAUAAUUCUUUGCUCCAUGUCUUCACUUGGAAGAACGAGUUUAAGCAUUGAAAGAAGGAUGACACACGUGGUGCGUCAUUGGAUGAAAUUUAAAAUCUGGCAAGUUUCUUGAAAAAUCUUUAAUAUAUUAAAUUUAAUAAAUUGUAGGUGAUAUUUGAAUUAAAAGCAGCAGUUUAGAAUGGCUUCUAUUAAAUUAUGUAAGGUGGCUAUUCGUUUGGUGCACGAUCGGUAUCUAAGGUAUCAAGACAUUUCUAUGGUUCAUUUUGCAAACUUAAUCAGCGGCUACAAACUGUAUAGCAUGCGGACAUUUAUCGUGUUUCAGGAUCGAACAAAUUACACGGAAUCGGUAGGGCCAGUGUCCCCGGCACGUUCUCGGUUAGCCGCUUUUCAGCCGGCCUGGCAAGGCGACAUUUCUCUCUCGCCGAAGGUGACAAGCAACAACGGUAAUGUUGUGCCAGAAAUACCUCUCUUCCCGAUACAACACGCUGGCUACCACACGGCAGAACGGAAAGAUCGCUUCCCGGAAUUCGCGAGCGUGUGAACGGAUCACGUCCUGGCCCGUUAAUGGUGGCUAUUAGUGUUCUCGAGGGAGACCGUUUACGUGCACCAAGAUCUUGCCAAACGACAACGCUCCGUGUCGCAGAUAAAUUCGUUCCUCUCGGAGGUCUGCGCCGGUGAAACGUACCCGUGCCUCUUUAUCUUGAAUAUCAAUCGAUAAUCCUUUGGCUCGUUAACUCUUUUCCCUCCUUCUUUCAUAUACUUUGUAUGUCCCUGCUCGUCCCUCGCUAUCGUGAAAACUUCGACUUUUCUUGCAGCGGAACGCGUGUGGGACUCGGUGAAAACUCAACCGUUGCUCGAGAUGUUAACGACCCGACCCGGUACUCCGAACACGACCAAAAAAGGGACGAAGAGAGACUCUCGUUGACCGAGCGAAUUCUUUCCAGGGAAUUAGAAAGCAGCCGGGGAAACAGCGGCGAGCACGCCAUUAGAUAAUUGAACUUGAAGCCGCAGCCUUACGCCAAUUAAGCUCUCGGAUUAUCCUGAGGAGACAGCGUCGCUAGUCGUUCGUGCGUGGGACCCCUGAUCAGCAGUCACCACCGGGCAAACGGUGCAACUGCCACGAGUUCCGUACUUGGCCGGGAUGCGUAAUCGAAUCUGUUGGGCAAUUCCUAUAUCUCGGGAUUACCACAUAAAUUUUCUAAUCCAAGAAAUACAAAUUUUAAAAAUUUUGAAUGAAGAAAAUUAGAAAGUUCCUAAAUUUAUAAUACGAGGUUGGGUAGUGCUGAUCCGAGAUUAGUAUUUUCGCUGCAUGCCGUGCAAUCUGCUCGCAAAGUUGGACUUUCCUCUUCACCGGCCAUAACUUCCUAAAUUAUACCGUUAACGCACGAUAUUCUGGAUUCCAGGAUGAUCGUUGAUAGCCGCACCGCAGCCAAAGAUCAGUUCAUCGAUAAGAGUGCUCGUUAAAGAGGAUGGAGGAGGACGAUUCGUUUUUUCGGCUUCGUUUCAUCGCGUCGAGAUCGUUCGGUUUUUAUUAGGUGACAGCGCUUCGCUCGGCAACCUUCUCUUCCGCCAAUUAAACGGGCCCGAAGACGCGAAUAAUUAACGGAGCAUGCAGGUGAACAAGAUGGCCGUGGAAAUCGUAACGCGGCCACGAUAAUAACAUCGUUCUUCUGAGAUCUUACGCAAUCGUUAAAAAGGUUUAACGCGGACGAGCAGAAGAAACGGGGUGCAAUCAGAAAGUGGGCGGAUUAAACGCUUUAAUUAACUUGUUAUGAAAUCGUUAACCGCCAGGAUAGGUUUGAUUCGAUCUUACGCUAAUGACGCUACGAUUAACGUUCCAGGGAGCUUUUUUUUUCUUCGUUAUGACGAUAAACAUGUUAUCGUUCGAGUAAAUCGUUAAUUCCACCGAGUAAAAUUGAUUUCUUCGAGGGAAUUCUCGAUACUCGAGUAAGCGAAGCGAGUUUAUCGCUGUGUAGAUUGAAAAGUUAAAGGAGAAGGAAAAAACAGGCAAGCGAAUAGUAGAUAACCGAUUGAACGAACUGAAUAUGGAACUUCAUUCGAAGAGAUCAAAGGUGUUGAACAAUAUUUAGAUCCGAUGUAUUUAUAUUUAGCCUCGUGCCGCGCAUACAACAACGAGCUCCGAUAUAAACACAUAAUAGAGCGUAUUUACUAACUCAACGCGCCAUUAUACAUUCUAAUUCGAGGAAUGAGAAGCAAAACGUCGUAACUGUCUGGUUUUAUAAUAGAGACAGAAACCAAGGGCACUCCUCCCGUUUCCAGCCGUAAUAAAACGGAAAAUUUACGAUAACCGAUCGAUACGAGCGAAAGAUGUGCGAGUUCCCGACAUUUCGCGCUAGGAUCGAGCCGGGUGGGUUCGAUCAGGUACGCGAAACACGUGUGCUCUCCGGUAGCCCGACUUGGGAAUCGACUCAAUUCUCUCUGACUUCGUUCGAAUGUCAAAUUAUCCGAAGUUGCAUCGGACAUCUUCCGAUUCGAUUCUAUUCAACAACUCGGGUAUUCGAAAGCGAAACAUUUUGGAGGGAGAUUAAUUGAAAAGUUAUCGAAAUACGACCGAGACGAUUCGAGUUUCGCGAUACGCUGGAAGACUUAUCGGUCGGGAAAGGUGUUCAAAUUGUGUCCAACGAACGGUACACCGUCUAAAAAUACAUUUCUAAACCGGAGAAUCAUUGCGCGACGGCCCUGUUCGCGAGGAACGCGUGCAGCGCUCGCGUCGAGUGGUGGGGGGAAGUACACAACUCUUUUAUGCACGGACGCAUGCGUACGAGAGGGAAUCGCGCGGACGCAUGCGCGAUCGCGACGCGGGGCCGCGGUGGGAGCAGCGCGCACACAGAAACAGGGCGGUGCUUUCAUUUAUUCAUAAAUCAACAGCGUCUAUUUAUAGGUACCCGACGGACAAAUAGCGAUAGUUGUGCGCGCGACGUUGUAUCCUUGAAUGGCGAAACAAUCGAAUGGAAAUUAAUGCGGCCCGAUGAAAAAUUAGACGCGGACCUCGACGACACCCGGCUGCGUGCUCGAGGAAGAGAGCACGUGGACAACUUUCAGCGGUGCGUCUGGUUUCGUUCGGUCAGGGUCAUAGACACCAGGUCUACGAUAAUUAUCUGGCUCCUUAAUACAUGUUUCUGGAAAGUUUUCAAUCGAGACGAUAUUGAAUCUCGCUAUAUGGCUCUGUAUAGAGAUGCCCAAGACAAAUCAUAAAUAUUCAAAUUUGACAAAUUUUUCGUGCUUGUCUGGUAGGCUCGAGUGACAGGAUACUGUUUUGACGCGUCAAGAAUGUUAAAGUCGCGAUGUUACACAAGAAUUUUCUCGAGCGUCUACAUUUUUAAAUCUGACAUUCUUCAACUCUCACAUUCACAAAUUUUGAAGAUGCUUAUAUUACUGAACUAAAACUUAUUCUUCUCAACUAGAACUCCAAAUUCGAACAGCUCCACAUUAUCAAAUUGAGAAUUAAAAAAUCCAAAAAUAUUACGAGAGAAUGCACAUUUCUCGUUUAUCCAAUAAACGGGUGUCGUAAGCUCGCAACGAGUUUGCAGCCGAUCCAACGAUUUCUCAACGUCCGAUGAAUUCUCUGAUCGGUCGACAAACGGGACAUCGGCGAAUCGGCACCGCCUCCGCGGAAAAACGCGUGGAUCGCGCGCGCUUGGGAAAUGUAUCGGAAUGGACCAAGAUCCGUUUAAAUCUCGUCAGAUCCACGCACAUCGGUUCUCCGGUGGGUGUCGCUGGCCGACGAGGCUCUGCUUGGAAGUCCGAGAGACGAGCAUACGGAUGGUGUAGGCUCGUAUAUGGGACGGGAUACGAGAGAAAAAGAGAGAAAGAGAGAGAGAGGGAGCGAAAGAGAGAGAGAGAAACGAACGAGAUGGGAACGCGGCUGUACGAGGCUGCUGGCUGCUUGGCUCCGCUGAUGCUGAUGCCGAUGCCGGUGCUGCCCGUGUUGGUUGUAGCUGGUUCGUUCAGUCUGUCGCUUGGCAAAGCAAUAGCCCAGGCUAAAUAUAGCCUGGCGAUAAACAUAGGCAGUUAGUGGAGCCACGGUGUAUAGUGGCGUCGGUAUCCUUGGAUAUACUCGAAUGACGCCGGAUACACGAGUCUCUUUCUCUUUCUCUCUCUCCUGUAACGCCGUGGGAUUUCGGUUCUACCUGACAACCAUUCAAGAAUCCCGACCAGGUCGAAAACGAGAUGAAGGGACGGUCAAUCUGGAACGAACCCGGUUCGGUGCCUUUAUACUCGAUCAUCGACUAAGUGUACUCUUGUUUCGAUCUCGCGUAUCCUUUAUGUUAUACCGUUUCUACGUUUAUUUAUAAAAUCUUGCCAUGUUGGUACGUUUUUACAGACUGAGCGAAUAAACUGCAAAAGACCUUAAUCAAGGUCGUUA